This 253-nucleotide ribosomal RNA is filed under the name uncultured bacterium. RNAcentral's name for it is "partial 16S ribosomal RNA". It matches the Rfam family "Bacterial small subunit ribosomal RNA", at positions 524 to 776 of the family's 1533-position model. The record is from RNAcentral.
GACAGAGGGUGCAAACGUUGUUCGGAAUUACUGGGCGUAAAGGGCUCGUAGGUGGCCAACUAAGUCAGACGUGAAAUCCCUCGGCUUAACCGGGGAACUGCGUCUGAUACUGGAUGGCUUGAGUUUGGGAGAGGGACGCGGAAUUCCAGGUGUAGCGGUGAAAUGCGCAGAUAUCAGGAGGAACACCAGCGGCGAAGGCGGCGCUCUGGGCCGGUACUGACGCUGAGGAGCGAAAGCGUGGGGAGCAAACAGG